UACAGAGGGGGCAAGCGUUGUCCGGAAUCAUUGGGCGUAGAGCGCGUGUAGGCGGUCCGGUAAGUCCGCUGUGAAAGUCGGGGGCUCAACCCUCGGAUGCCGGUGGAUACUGUCGGGCUUGAGUACGGAAGAGGCGAGUGGAAUUCCUGGUGUAGCGGUGAAAUGCGCAGAUAUCAGGAGGAACACCAAUUGCGAAGGCAGCUCGCUGGGACGUUACUGACGCUGAGGAGCGAAAGCGUGGGGAGCGAACAGG
This 253-nucleotide ribosomal RNA is filed under the name uncultured bacterium. RNAcentral's name for it is "partial 16S ribosomal RNA". It matches the Rfam family "Bacterial small subunit ribosomal RNA", at positions 524 to 776 of the family's 1533-position model. The record is from RNAcentral.